RNAcentral lists this long non-coding RNA (301 nucleotides) under Homo sapiens (human). RNAcentral's name for it is "long non-coding RNA NONHSAT186918". The record is from RNAcentral. Lineage: Eukaryota; Metazoa; Chordata; Mammalia; Primates; Hominidae.
CUUCACAGCUGUGUGGUCUUGGGCCCCAGUUAUCUCUCUGUGAAACAGAACCUUCUCUUAGGCUUGCCAUGAGGGUAAGAUUAAAUAAUGCAUGUGAAGCCCUUGACACAGAGUAGUCGCCUAAUAAAUUAGAACUACUAUCCUACUUAACUCCCAAACUUCUCAAAUCUCCAUUCCCUCUUGUACUAACAUAACAAGAACUUUGGUCUCACACAUAACCUUUUCACUGGUUCCAUCUUUCGUCAUCUUAACCACCUACUUAUCAGUCUACAGCUUCUCAUUUCUAACUGAAGAGCCUCCC